AACGCGGACAAUCCGGCUCAUACGAUGCUUCGGCGCGACGGUAGAUUCUGCGCUGAUUGGUGGAGCUUCGGAAGAUCAUCGGUGCCUGCGAAAUCGUCUAGGAAAUCCUCGGAGAGGGGAAAGCACUUAGAUCUCAGGGUGACCUGAAUGGCGAGGAGUCGCACAGCAUCUCGAUUUCGUCCAAGGUUCACGGGAGCUACCUCAAAAUCAAGUUCAACGGAAGGGAAGGCAGUCCGGCACAGCUCAUUUCCCUGACCGUGGGUCCAAUCGAUCUUGUAUCCAAGGUUGAGCAAGGCAAAAUUGACAUCGAGCGCCGCCGCUUCUAUAACUUCGAGGAACAGACCGAGAGGAACGUCGCUCGACAAAUCUCGUCGAUCCUCAGCGGAAGAUUCAGCGCUGUCCUACACACUGUUGCCAGCCGCCACCUGAUGCCUUGAUUCCAGCUCCAUUCUUCAGUCCUCGUCGGAAGUUCAACGAUGCAACUCAAUGAGGGAUUUAAUAAAUGACUAAGGUUAUU
This is a long non-coding RNA of Galendromus occidentalis (western predatory mite), 517 nucleotides long. RefSeq lists it as uncharacterized. The record is from RefSeq and is a predicted model, not a curated record. The transcript is spliced from 3 exons. NCBI's taxonomy places the organism in Eukaryota, Metazoa, Arthropoda, Arachnida, Mesostigmata, Phytoseiidae.